GGUGGCUCAGUGGUAGAAUGCUUGCCUUGCAUGCAUGAGGCCCUGGGUUUGAUUCUCAGCACCA
This 64-nucleotide transfer RNA is filed under the name Dipodomys ordii (Ord's kangaroo rat). It matches the Rfam family "tRNA". Rfam says of the family: Transfer RNA (tRNA) molecules are approximately 80 nucleotides in length. The record is from Rfam by way of RNAcentral. Lineage: Eukaryota; Metazoa; Chordata; Mammalia; Rodentia; Heteromyidae.